AGUGGCGAACGGGUGAGUAACACGUGAGUAACCUGCCCCUGACUCUGGGAUAAGCGUUGGAAACGACGUCUAAUACUGGAUAUGACUGCUGGCCGCAUGGUCUGGUGGUGGAAAGAUUUUUUGGUUGGGGAUGGACUCGCGGCCUAUCAGCUUGUUGGUGAGGUAAUGGCUCACCAAGGCGACGACGGGUAGCCGGCCUGAGAGGGUGACCGGCCACACUGGGACUGAGACACGGCCCAGACUCCUACGGGAGGCAGCAGUGGGGAAUAUUGCACAAUGGGCGAAAGCCUGAUGCAGCAACGCCGCGUGAGGGAUGACGGCCUUCGGGUUGUAAACCUCUUUUAGUAGGGAAGAAGCGUAAGUGACGGUACCUGCAGAAAAAGCACCGGCUAACUACGUGCCAGCAGCCGCGGUAAUACGUAGGGUGCAAGCGUUGUCCGGAAUUAUUGGGCGUAAAGAGCUCGUAGGCGGUUUGUCGCGUCUGCUGUGAAAUCCCGAGGCUCAACCUCGGGCUUGCAGUGGGUACGGGCAGACUAGAGUGCGGUAGGGGAGAUUGGAAUUCCUGGUGUAGCGGUGGAAUGCGCAGAUAUCAGGAGGAACACCGAUGGCGAAGGCAGAUCUCUGGGCCGUAACUGACGCUGAGGAGCGAAAGCGUGGGGAGCGAACAGGA
This 670-nucleotide ribosomal RNA is filed under the name Curtobacterium citreum. Its description in RNAcentral is "bacterial SSU rRNA". It matches the Rfam family "Bacterial small subunit ribosomal RNA", at positions 94 to 777 of the family's 1533-position model. Lineage: Bacteria; Bacillati; Actinomycetota; Actinomycetes; Micrococcales; Microbacteriaceae. The record is from RNAcentral.